CGACUGCGCCACCCAGGCGCCCCAAAAAAGGUUUUUUUUUAAUGAAUAUGUAGUGAAACAAAACAUCAAAGUCGAUGACAACUAAAAAUAGGAUACAAAAUUAUGCACAUGUUAUGUGUGGUAGGCAGCCUUGAAAAUGACCCCCACCAUCCCUGCCUGUUGGGAUUCAUGCCCUUAUGUCCUUAUGUAAUCCCCUCUCCUUAAGUGUGGGCUGGAUUUACUGAUUCACUUGUAAUCAGUAGGGAUGUCCCUGCUGAGAUUAGGUUUUUAAAAGACUGGCUUUCAUCUUGGUUGUUCUCUUAUUCUCUCCUUCUCAGAUCACCACCUACCAUGUUGAGAGGACACAUAGGCAGCCUAUGAAAAGGACCAUGUGCUAAGGAACCAGCAAUCAUCAGCUAAGGAUUCAGCAACCACUUGAGUAAGCUGAAUCCUUUGGCCCCCAGUUGAGAUGGCUAUAACCCAUAGACUUCCAGAUUCCCAACACACAGAAACUGAGAGAGAAACACAAUGCUUACCAUUUCCAGCUCAAGACUGGCUUAACGGCCUCCUCCGAGGUUAAUGUUAACAUCGUUCUGGACAGAGUAACAGGAAGCAUCUGUGUAUCUGACCACAAACUGAGAUGAUCCAUUCUUCCCCCAUCUGAAGUAUAAGUUCUGUUGGUAUUAAAUUGCUUAAUUGCUUCUGCUUUAUAUAUUAAUACUUUAAAACAUCAUAAAAUCUCUGGGAAAACUAAAA
Molecule: long non-coding RNA, 735 nt
Organism: Prionailurus viverrinus (fishing cat)
Lineage: Eukaryota; Metazoa; Chordata; Mammalia; Carnivora; Felidae
Exons: 2
Source: RefSeq, a predicted model, not a curated record